UGCCGAAUUAUCAGGAAUUCUUUUCUCUUCUUCCAACCACGGAACUUCUUCUGGAUUUGCAUAGCUGCAGCAUCUAGUCCAUCAGAAUGUAUAGGCUUGUGUGUAUUGGCAGCUAUAACUGCAAGACCACGCCCAUCAAAAAUAUUGAAUUCAUCAUCCCCAUACUCAGUUAACUGUUUCCGCUGGAAUGACUGCAUCCUGAAUACUUGAUGUAUACGAUUAGCUGCUUGUGUAGCAUUACGGAUGGCAGUCAGUGAAUCCUUCAAUGACAGCACAUUUGACACAUCACUUUCAUUCGCAGGGGUAGCCAUCCGUUCUGCAAUUGUUUGCACAGCUGUCGUUGCUGAGAUGUCUGGUGAACCACCUUCCGUUGAAUCACUUAGCAUAAGCAAUUGUAGGUAGCUUGUCAAAGACGACUCUGCAAGGAAACCAGAGAUUCCUUUGUGUCCAUUGCCAGAAGCAAGGUCUGCUGGAGUUCUACCCAAAGGAAAUUCUGGAGACGGAUCUGUCAAUACCCGAGUAUCCGCACACAAAGAGACAAGGGCAGCAACUGUCUGCUCUCUGCCAUAGAAUGCAGCCCAAUGGAGAGCUGUCCAUCCAUUCGUCACAUCACGGAAAUUGAUACUAACUCCUGCAGUCAAGAUAGCUUUUAUAG
Molecule: unclassified non-coding RNA, 655 nt
Filed under: Hevea brasiliensis (rubber tree)
Lineage: Eukaryota; Viridiplantae; Streptophyta; Magnoliopsida; Malpighiales; Euphorbiaceae
Source: RNAcentral